This 449-nucleotide ribosomal RNA is filed under the name uncultured bacterium. Its description in RNAcentral is "bacterial SSU rRNA". It matches the Rfam family "Bacterial small subunit ribosomal RNA", at positions 330 to 793 of the family's 1533-position model. The record is from RNAcentral.
UCCAGACUCCUACGGGAGGCAGCAGUGGGGAAUAUUGGACAAUGGGGGGAACCCUGAUCCAGCGACGCCGCGUGAGUGAAGAAGUAUUUCGGUAUGUAAAGCUCUAUCAGCAGGGAAGAAAGAAAUGACGGUACCUGACUAAGAAGCCCCGGCUAACUACGUGCCAGCAGCCGCGGUAAUACGUAGGGGGCAAGCGUUAUCCGGAUUUACUGGGUGUAAAGGGAGCGUAGACGGUCCUGCAAGCCAGAUGUGAAAGCCCGGGGCUCAACCCCGGGACUGCAUUUGGAACUGUAAGGCUAGAGUGUCGGAGAGGCAGGCGGAAUUCCUAGUGUAGCGGUGAAAUGCGUAGAUAUUAGGAGGAACACCAGUGGCGAAGGCGGCCUGCUGGGCUUUUACUGACGCUGAGGCUCGAAAGUGUGGGGAGCAAACAGGAUUAGAUACCCUCGUAU